AGCUGAAGAGGGACCAGCAGGGGAGAGGAGCUGAGCUGGAAGUGUUCUGAGCCAUCCUCCAGCUCAGCUCCUCUCCCCUGCUGGUUCCUUCUUCAGCUGC
RNAcentral lists this microRNA precursor (100 nucleotides) under Podarcis lilfordi (Lilford's wall lizard). Lineage: Eukaryota; Metazoa; Chordata; Lepidosauria; Squamata; Lacertidae. The record is from RNAcentral.